RNAcentral lists this unclassified non-coding RNA (378 nucleotides) under uncultured bacterium. Its description in RNAcentral is "contains 16S-23S intergenic spacer region". The record is from RNAcentral.
UCCGGCUUAUCACCGGCAGUCCCUCUAGAGUGCCCAACUCAAUGAUGGCAACUAAAGGCGAGGGUUGCGCUCGUUGCGGGACUUAACCCAACAUCUCACGACACGAGCUGGCGACAGCCAUGCAGCACCUGUCUUACGGUUCCCGAAGGCACCAAUCCAUUUCUGGAAAGUUCCGUAGAUGUCAAGACCAGGUAAGGUUCUUCGCGUUGCAUCGAAUUAAUCCACAUGCUCCGCCGCUUGUGCGGGCCCCCGUCAAUUCCUUUGAGUUUUAGCCUUGCGGCCGUACUCCCCAGGCGGGGCGCUUAAUGCGUUAGCUACGGCACGGAUCCCGUGGAAGGAAACCCACACCUAGCGCCCACCGUUUACGGCGUGGACUAC